Molecule: ribosomal RNA, 450 nt
Filed under: uncultured bacterium
Lineage: Bacteria
Description: partial 16S ribosomal RNA
Rfam family: Bacterial small subunit ribosomal RNA
Source: RNAcentral
GUGGGGAAUAUUGGACAAUGGGCGAAAGCCUGAUCCAGCCAUGCCACGUGUGUGAAGAAGGUCUUCGGAUUGUAAAGCACUUUAAGUUGGGAGGAAGGGCAGUAAGUUAAUACCUUGCUGUUUUGACGUUACCGACAGAAUAAGCACCGGCUAACUUCGUGCCAGCAGCCGCGGUAAUACGAAGGGUGCAAGCGUUAAUCGGAAUUACUGGGCGUAAAGCGCGCGUAGGUGGUUUUGUAAGUUGGAGGUGAAAUCCCCGGGCUCAACCUGGGAACUGCCUCCAAAACUGCAUGACUAGAGUACGGUAGAGGGUAGUGGAAUUUCCUGUGUAGCGGUGAAAUGCGUAGAUAUAGGAAGGAACACCAGUGGCGAAGGCGACUACCUGGACUGAUACUGACACUGAGGUGCGAAAGCGUGGGGAGCAAACAGGAUUAGAAACCCUUGUAGUCC